This is an RNA transcript of Eupeodes corollae, 4734 nucleotides long. It is a transcript of the gene named JNK-interacting protein 3, with no coding region annotated. The record is from RefSeq and is a predicted model, not a curated record. The transcript has 19 exons. Lineage: Eukaryota; Metazoa; Arthropoda; Insecta; Diptera; Syrphidae.
CAUCGCCGUCGUCGUCGUUUUCGUUUCUCGCCUUCGUGUGUGUACUUUUCGUGUUCGUUUUUCUGCGCUGUCGUGUUUCGUGCGAAAAAUCUUGUGAAAAACUUAUUUUCUUUCCCAAAAUAAUCUUUCAAAAAAACCCAAAUUCCUUUAAUUUUAUUGCAUUUUCUAGUAAAAAUAAUAAAAAGAAAGACACUGCUAUUGGGACGAAGUCGAAAACGAAUGGCAUUUGCAAAAAUGCCUCACAAAUAAAAGAAAAUUGAAAAAUUAAAUUUUCUCAAAGAAUAAAAGAAACAAGAAAAAAAAAACACAUCUAACGUGAAUGUGCGCCGUGUCGUCGUCGUUUCGUUGUCGUCGUCGUCGUCGUUAGUCUAUUUGUACGUGCAAGUGUCAUGUCGUAGUGAAAAAUAUUUUAAAAUUAAAAUAGAAAAUUUAUACCAAAAAAGAGGAAAAGCUAAAUAAAAGUUUUUAGUUUUCGAUUGUAAUGUGCACCCAAGCGAAGGUGAAGACGAAUUUUCCAUUUUAAUUGCUCGGCCAUAACAGAAAUACAAAAAAAACAACAACCAAAGCUAAUUUUCCAAUAAGAAGAAAUAGCAAGUAAAAUAAAAAAAAGUAAGAUUGAGCGAGGGCGGCAGUAACAUACGGCGGCGGUUCAUACGUAACACCACACAAAGGAACCCCACCCCCUCCAACCACGCAUAAGAGGAAACACAAUUUGUGUCCUUGUGCUCCUGCGGCAUAUUAUUAGAUUCAUAUAUCACGCAGCAGCAAUCAUGGACAACGACGGCAUCAGUCGCGGUCCUCAGCCUGGCGCUGAGAUUGUCUAUGGCACGGAGGAUAACAACAUGGUCAUGUCGGAGAAGAAUGAACAGGUUGUGAGCAUCGUACAACAAUUAGCCAGUAGUAUCUACCAGGAAUUUGAACGUAUGAUAAAUCGUUACGACGAGGAUGUCGUAAAGAAUCUCAUGCCACUUUUGGUAAAUGUAUUAGAGUGCUUAGAUGCAUCAUAUAGAAUUAAUCAGGAGCAAGAUGUCGAGGUGGAGUUACUUCGAGAGGAUAAUGAACAGCUAGUCACACAAUAUGAAAGGGAAAAGAGUGCAAGAAAACAAUCAGAGCAAAAGCUCUUGGAAGCGGAAGACUUAGCCGAAGCAGAAAAUAAGGAACUAGCAAGUAGAUUAGAGUCAUUAGAAAGUAUUGUUAGAAUGCUUGAGUUAAAGCACAAGAAUAGUUUGGAACAUUCUAGUCGAUUGGAAGAAAGAGAAGGUGAUCUUAAAAAGGAAUAUAAUAAAUUACAUGAGCGCUAUACGGAGCUUUUUAAAACACAUGUGGAUUAUAUGGAACGUACAAAAAUGUUAAUGGGUUCAACCCAUUCACAGAUGAGUUCGGCUUCAGAUAGACAAGAAGUUAGCAGAGCUAGGCUUAAUCCAAUUGUUAGUUUUAUUGACAUUUGUAGAUCGUCUGGACCCGUUUCAUAUGGUUUCACAUCGUUAGAGAAUUCAACUAUGUUGGACACGGAAACAAUUUGCAGUGGAGGAAGCAAUUCCGACGAUUCUGGCCCACCAUCACUUCAAAAUGAAUUGGAAAGUAUUCACACUAUGGAACGUUCCGCCGAAACAGACACCCUUCAUCACAUCAAUCAAGCAACAUCGCCUCAAAGUGAUGAAUGUCCACCAAUUGUGCCAAAUAUUACAUCUAAUGUUGGUCGAACUACAACCAAAAAGGAACAACGCUCCGCAAACACACUCUAUCAAGAGCUAUCAUUUCAGGACAAUGAAGAGAGUGAAGAGCAUGAAGUCACAGGCAGCUGGGUGCAUCCUGGGGAAUACGCUUCUUCAGCUAAUGAUAAUUAUUUUGGUAUGGGAAAAGAAGUCGAAAACCUCAUCAUGGAAAACAAUGAACUUCUUGCAACCAAAAAUGCUCUUAACAUCGUUAAAGACGAUCUAAUUGUAAAAGUUGAUGAACUCACCGGUGAAAUAGAAAUUCUUCGAGAGGAACUAAAUGCGAUGUCGCAAUCACGUAAUAAACUUCGACAGAAAGUGGGCGAGUUGGAAGAUGAACUCAAGAAGACCAAAGAACAAGUCAAACAACAGAAUGACACAGAACAAGAAGAAAGUGAUGUUCCGAUGGCCCAACGUAAGCGUUUCACACGAGUCGAAAUGGCUAUGGUGCUUAUGGAGAGAAAUCAAUACAAAGAACGUUUAAUGGAACUUCAAGAAGCUGUCCGUUUAACGGAAAUCAUUCGUGCUACUAAAACCAUAGAGAAACCCAAACAAGGCAUUUGGAAGUAUUUUAAUAAUCUUUUCACCUCUUCGAACCGACCCCAAGAACGGGACCCCGGGCAGGGAGGGGGGCCCAUGUUUCGCUACAACAGCCCCUCUCACAGUCACGGAUCCCCCAGUCGAAGUAGCGAGCAUCGCCUUGCCAUAACAUCAGGCAAUCAUCCACCUGCUAGUGCCGGACUAGCAAAUGCCCUGAUAUUAGCUAAGGAUUUUAGCGAGGAAGGGACAUCAGAGCGUGCAAACGCUCGUAGAAAAGAGCAAUACCGCCAAUUGAGGGCACACGUCCAAAAGGAAGACGGUAGAUUGCAUGCGUAUGGCUGGAGUUUGCCGAUUAACAAAUCGAGCCAAGAACAACACAAUCGGCAUUCGGGUGCAGUACCAGUUCCGGUUUAUUGUAAUCCUUUGGCUGAAGCUAGUCCGCACAUGAAGGUAUUUUGCGCCGCUGGGGUCAACCUAAAUGGGGGCUUCAAUAAGGAUGGUGGUUCUGUGAUAGGAGCGACUAUUUUCUAUUCGAGACCGACGGCGAAAAUUACCGAGAUCACAAGUCCAACAGUGGAGCAUAGUGGUCAGGAGUCACUGGAACGCCAGCUAAAUAUGUCUCUGGAUGGAGAAGACCCAGAAAUUCAGUUGAGUUCGUAUGUGUGGGUGUGUACAAGUACACAUGCUGCCAGCACAGUAACUGUUGUGGAUGCUAAUGAGCCAGCGAACGUGCUGGACGCGUUCCCCAUUUGUCAGUCUCAUUUACUGUGCAUUGCAUCGGUGCCAGGUGCCAUGGAAAAAGACUACGCAUUGCUGGAGAAUUCAGAAGUAAUAAAGGCUGGAGAGACGCUAGAGAAGCCAGGUGAGGGACCAGAAAUGCUGGGAAAUGUGGAAUUCAUCAGAGUCCGACCGAAACCAGAUCAAAAUCGGAAUACAGAAACCAAAGAAAAUGAAGAAACUGGCUUGAGUUCAACCAAUGGAAGCGUUGAAGUGGAGGAAAAAGCCAAAGAGGCAGUAGAGAAAUCAAAUUCUAACGAAAGCGACGAAGCCGUUGCAGUAGAAGAGGCUAAAAUUCCACCCUCGUCACCUCUGCAUCAUUUUGUCCUGGGAGGUGAUGUCGCGACCACCAACGGAGUGGCAGAAACCACUACGAAUAACAACAAUUCGAGUUCACCAUUAGCAUUUUCAAGACCGGUCAAUCCGAUCUUAGGUACUCAGGAUCGACAGAAUGAGCCUCCAAUGACAUCCGUUGGCCCGACAAUGUGGUUGGGCGCCCAGGACGGUAUGCUCUAUGUGCACAGUAGCGUGGGUCGGUGGCAUGAGUGUCUGCACAAAGUGCUGCUUCCCGAUGCUGUUCUGGGCAUAGUGCACGUUGAAUCUCGGGUGGUAGUUGCUCUGGCGAAUGGACAGCUGGCUGUUUUUCGUCGCCAGACAGAUGGUCAAUGGGACCUCAACAGCUAUCACCUGGUAACGCUGGGUGACCAGCAUCAGUCGAUUCGGUGCUUGUGUGUAGUGGCCGAUAAGAUUUGGGCUGCACACCGCAAUAAGAUCCACAUUGUGGAUCCUAUUUCGCUCAAUGUGAUCCAUACGUUGGAGGCUCAUCCGAGAAAAGAGAGUCAAGUGCGGCAGAUGGCUGCCACAGGACUAGGAGUGUGGGUUUCAAUAAGAUUGGACUCCACACUACGGCUAUAUCAUGCCCAUACAUUCGAACACAUCCAAGAUGUAGAUAUUGAACCGUACGUAUCGAAAAUGCUCGGCACGGGAAAAUUGGGCUUCUCGUUUGUAAGAAUCACAGCUCUUAUGGUCUCGUGCAAUCGUCUGUGGAUUGGAACAAGCAAUGGAGUGAUUAUAUCGGUACCGCUAACCGAAGGACCAUUAAAGCCAUCGUCCAAUGGAAUGAUCCCAAGAUGUGGUAUGGCCAAUGCUCAAUUAUCCUUCCAUGGCCAUCGGGAUGCAGUUAAAUUUUUCGUUUCGGUGCCGAUGUCACAAGAGCCGUGUAAUCAAUUACAGCAAUUUACAAAUAAACGGCCCGAUAUGCUGGUCAUGUGUGGCGGAGAGGGAUAUAUUGAUUUUAGACAAGAAAAGCAUGCUGAAGAUGCAAGCGACAAUGCGGCACAUUUGAUAGUUUGGCGAGUCUAUACAAUUUACAAUUUAUGAAUCAGAUCUCUGAUUUUUAAAAGUUUAAAAUAGUGCGAUACACACUAGAAAUUAAGAAAAAAUAAAAAGAGACAGAGAGAAAAAGAGAGAUGAGACAAAAACUGCUAAAUUUGUUGACAUCGAAAGGAUUUGAAGUAAUACAAGAAAAAAAAAAGGUGACAAUGACAUGGAGAGCAGUAUUCGCUUGGAACCCAAUCAGACUAUUGAAAACCGAGGUGAUAAGAGCUACUUGAUUGUGUGGCAUGUAAGUCAGCGUUAGGCAUGAUAUUUUCUACACAACCCUGCCACACUUUUUUCCCACAUUUUGACAAAAAAAAACAAA